GACGAACGCUGGCGGCGCGCCUAACACAUGCAAGUCGAACGAGCGAGAGAGAGCUUGCUUUCUCGAGCGAGUGGCGAACGGGUGAGUAACGCGUGAGGAACCUGCCUCAAAGAGGGGGACAACAGUUGGAAACGACUGCUAAUACCGCAUAAGCCCACGGCUCGGCAUCGAGCAGAGGGAAAAGGAGCAAUCCGCUUUGAGAUGGCCUCGCGUCCGAUUAGCUAGUUGGUGAGGUAAUGGCCCACCAAGACGACGAUCGGUAGCCGGACUGAGAGGUUGAACGGCCACAUUGGGACUGAGACGCGGCCCAGACUCCUACGGGAGGCAGCAGUGGGGAAUAUUGCACAAUGGGGGAAACCCUGAUGCAGCGACGCCGCGUGGAGGAAGAAGGUCUUCGGAUUGUAAACUCCUGUUGUUGGGGAAGAUAAUGACGGUACCCAACAAGGAAG
RNAcentral lists this ribosomal RNA (449 nucleotides) under uncultured bacterium. Its description in RNAcentral is "bacterial SSU rRNA". It matches the Rfam family "Bacterial small subunit ribosomal RNA", at positions 28 to 490 of the family's 1533-position model. The record is from RNAcentral.